RNAcentral lists this ribosomal RNA (408 nucleotides) under uncultured bacterium. RNAcentral's name for it is "partial 16S ribosomal RNA". It matches the Rfam family "Bacterial small subunit ribosomal RNA", at positions 30 to 526 of the family's 1533-position model. The record is from RNAcentral.
AUUGAACGCUGGCGGCGUGCCUAAUACAUGCAAGUCGAACGGAGUGGCGCACGGGUGAGUAAUGUAUAGCUAAUCUGCCCUGCACUAGAGGACAACAGUUGGAAACGGCUGCUAAUACUCUAUAGUGUAGGAUGAGGCUAUAUUGUAUGAGCUAGUUGGUGAGGUAAUGGCUCACAAAGGCUAUGACGCAUAACUGGUCUGAGAGGAUGAUCAGUCACACUGGAACGGAGACACGGUCCAGACUCCUACGAGAGGGAGCAGUAGGGAAUAUUGCCCAAUGGGGGUAAGCCUGAAGCAGCAACGCAGCGUGGAGGAUGACACUUUGCGGAGCGUAAACUCCUUUUGUUACGGAAGCGGUACCUAACGAAUAAGCACCGGCUAACUCCGUGCCAGCAGCCGCGGUAAUAC